AACCCAUGUUGAGGACAUUUCCACAGAAGAUCCUUGAACCCAUCCCAUGUCUCAAAAAGAGACUCCAAUUCCACUUAACAAAAGAGAAUAUUUCAUUGCUGAGUUU
Small nucleolar RNA from Dioscorea cayenensis subsp. rotundata (Guinea yam), 106 nucleotides. NCBI's taxonomy places the organism in Eukaryota, Viridiplantae, Streptophyta, Magnoliopsida, Dioscoreales, Dioscoreaceae. The record is from RefSeq and is a predicted model, not a curated record.